Molecule: long non-coding RNA, 3296 nt
Organism: Micropterus salmoides (largemouth bass)
Lineage: Eukaryota; Metazoa; Chordata; Actinopteri; Centrarchiformes; Centrarchidae
Exons: 3
Source: RefSeq, a predicted model, not a curated record
GGAGGCAGGGCCAAUAGGCUGCAGAGGCAGGGAGGGUUAGGAGAAAUAGGAUCUUUGCUCUCUCUCUCUCUCUAGAUUCAAUGUUCAGUUUUAUUCAGUUCGGUAAGAUCCAGAAUUUCCUACACAAAGUCAACAGAACCAGCAUGAUCAACAAGAGUGUGCAGGCCUGGAAACUGAGCCAAGCCUGGCUGGUCGAGGUCGGGACAAAGCAGACUUGAUGAGCGGAGUGAGGAAAGGCACCAGAGGGGUUCUAUGACGAAGGGGUUUGCGUGCAACGAAGGAUCAGUGUCUCUCCAGUAACAUAUGAAGACCAGCUGAGACAAACCUCAAAUGACCUCUAACAGCAUGCCUCCUUCUGAUGGUGAGACCCGAGAAAAUUGGAUGGCUAUGCCAGCUAUUCUGAAACCCUCAAGAUGUCAGUCAUUCUGUAUGGAAACCACCAACCCUCUUUAACCCUCAUAGGACACCUGACUGACACUCGAGAAUUUGAGGGCAGGGAGACAUGUGACCUAAUGCUGCACAAGGCAUGGCAAUCAGCUGGCACCUUUCUAUAUCUUAUUUGAGACGACACGGCUGUUGACACAUAUGCAGACAAAAUCCUUUUUGCAACAACAUGCCCAACAUAGGCCCACGUGUGGAGAGAAUGUGUGUUUUUAUGGACAUUUUCAGCGUAUUAAAAGUUGGUUAUGACAUUGUACUCACCAAAGUAAUUUGUAAGAUCUUCUAACAUCAUGACAUAGAUAUAAGAAAGCCCAUGACAACAAGGCAACAAACAUAAGCGGACAGAAAACAGGAAAAAGGUUGUAAACAAGCCAACAGCUUAUUCGGUUUAUCUAAAAAACCUUUCUGAGGUAAAACUGAACAUAAGCACACUAGUAAUGUCAGUAAUAAUCCCUCACUGUACAAAAUUGCGUACAAAAAAAGUACGCUAGGUGAAAUUUGAGCCAAGAAGCUGGUCUAUAAACUGUGAUGGAUGUUUGUAAUAUGUUCAAUAUGGUCAAUUUAGGUCAUCAUUUUACAAUUCAGUCUUUGUUUUCAAAAUAAGUUUGACUCACUCAGUGGGUUGUUUAAAACCUAUUGUCUGACUGCUCAUGUUUCUUGUGAUGUUACAUGUUCCCAGAUCUUAAUUAACUUACAAACAUUAGAAAACAAUUACCAAGUGUUAUAGUAAAUAACCAAAUGUUGCAUAAUCUGAUAUUUCCCUGUCAUUCUAAACUUCAUAAAAGUCACUAACUCUGAAUUAUAUCUUGUGUGCAGAUAUGCAUGAAACAAAAGGUGAUUAAGUUUAAUAUAUUUUUUGUAUUGUGUUUUUGUAAGUUCCAAGCAAUGCUACAGCAAUUUUAUUUUAACAUUGUUAAUUGCUUUUGAUUGGAUCAUGCAAAAGAUAUUUCCUUUUUACACUUUACUAAAGUCUUAACUAAGACAUUGCUUAACUUUUAUUCGUGCAACCAGACUAAGAAAAUCACUAAAUGAAACUAGCUAGAAGUAUAACUUAUGAAAGGCCUAACACACAAAAUUAGUGAUGGAUUUACGAAAAGCUGGUGUAACCCAAUCCAGAUGUCAAGCUCAUUUAACAUCAAGUUAUGUCAUGGCAUAAAUGCACAAGGAGACAUAGGCACAUAUUUAUAUAGUUUAAAUGUAUGGCAAUUAAACAUAAGCAACACAUUCUCACUCCCAACUUGCCACACUUGGUCAAGACCACUGGUGUUGCUUUUAAUGCCCUUUGUACUCCUUUAGCGUCAUUUUUCGACAUUUAAGGCUCUGCGUUCAAGUUAGCAACACUUUACAACAAUAAUUAUGCAACAUCCAGUGAAAUUAGCAACAAUAAAUAUGCAAUGUCUGGUUAGACUUUCAAAAUAAAAUGUUAACGCUGCGAAACAUCGCCAUUUUGAAACAGCACAUUGUUAAAGUUGUGAAAAGUAGAGAAAAUUUGUAAAUUGGUUAGGUUUAGACACCAAAUGUGCUUGGUUAGGUCUAGGAAAAAAUCAUGGUUUGGGUUACAAUAACUACAUACAUCAGUUAACACGCAAGUUAAGCAACGUUGCAUGCUAAUUAAUUUUGACUUUUUGUUUAACAAGGGAAACGAACACCAGUCACCUGGUUGAAAGUCCGGUUUCUGGCCCUCCAUCCACCCCAACUACCUCCUUACUCAGUCUUUUCUGUUACACUCGCACUCUCCAAUUUGGUCACAUAUCUUAUGCUUAUUCACCUUCAGCUUAGUGACAACAAAUAAUCAUAUGCAAAUAUCAAAAUCAAUGCAAUAACAGCACCAAUAAGAGCAAGAAUAACAGAGAGGUCCAAAGGACAAAGAGAGUAAAGGAGUGGCAUUGACAUACUGUUUAAGCGUGUCUUUCCAUUACAAUGUAGUAAUGAGCUAAGCUCUUAUGCAACACAUUUCCAGUGUUGAAAUAGACUUACACAUCCCUCCCUACCUUUCUCUCCCUCUCCACAUCUCUAUCUCUCUCUGAGGGUCUGAGCAGCCGCCAACUCAUCAAUCACCAACUACAAAGAAAAGACAAAAAAAAUUCCUGGAAAGGAGCAAAGGACAGAAGAGUGCAUCAUUUUGAAGGCAGUUGUGUAACUCUUUCAGGUGUAUAUCAGGGCUGAGCUGUCAGAAUAACAGAAAAUAAAGAAAUUAUAAUAAAUGUUAAUUACUUUGUUUGUAAUUAAUAAAUGAGAUGCAUGUUAACUCAAACAAAUUGUCCUGAAAUGAAACAUAUGGAAAUUAUUUUACUUAAAUUAGAAUAUACAUUUUACAUCUGCCAAACAGGUCUGAGACUUUCUUUCUAGGAGUGCCAUUCCAUUGUGUCUGGAAAUUUGCUAUGCCUUGUGCGUAGAUGGGCAAAGUUAGUGGUUGACAAUGAAUAUCUGUAUUGAAUUUCAUGGCAUCCAAUAAUGUGGAGGCAAUCUACUGGUGAUCCUGUUAUCCCUAGUAUCACUUUUUGUCUGUAGACUGUGUGUCUAUCUACUGAAAGCCUUUAAUGUAGGUUCUCAAACAUCCUGGGUGUAUCUUGAUAUCAACAUCCUCACCUCUAACAGGGGCAAAACAUUUUAAUUCAUUUAGUUGACUUUAGCUGACUCCCUUAAAAACUAAAUUUCCUUCACACAAAUCCUGUGAGUAUCAACACACCUUCAAUGGAUAUCACAGAUGUUCUGGUACAAUGCAAAACACCUGAUCAGCAGAUGCAAUCUUUCAUAAAGAUCUUUAAUAAUUUACAGUCAGAUGAUUCUCUGCACUGUCUUCACCUUUGGUUAAUGCACUGACUUCUGGCCAUAAUUAAAAAGUCUGAAAACAA